Molecule: ribosomal RNA, 459 nt
Filed under: uncultured bacterium
Lineage: Bacteria
Description: bacterial SSU rRNA
Rfam family: Bacterial small subunit ribosomal RNA
Source: RNAcentral
AACGAACGCUGGCGGCAGGCCUAACACAUGCAAGUCGAGCGCCCCGCAAGGGGAGCGGCGGACGGGUGAGUAACGCGUGGGAACGUACCCUUUGCUACGGAAUAGCCUCGGGAAACUGGGAGUAAUACCGUAUGUGCCCUUCGGGGGAAAGAUUUAUCGGCAAAGGAUCGGCCCGCGUUGGAUUAGGUAGUUGGUGGGGUAAUGGCCUACCAAGCCGACGAUCCAUAGCUGGUUUGAGAGGAUGAUCAGCCACACUGGGACUGAGACACGGCCCAGACUCCUACGGGAGGCAGCAGUGGGGAAUCUUAGACAAUGGGCGCAAGCCUGAUCUAGCCAUGCCGCGUGAGCGAUGAAGGCCUUAGGGUUGUAAAGCUCUUUCAGUGGGGAAGAUAAUGACUGUACCCACAGAAGAAGCCCCGGCUAACUCCGUGCCAGCAGCCGCGGUAAAGGAGUAGUACA